ACAGGUGGCUGCAUGGCUGUCGUCAGCUCGUGUCGUGAGAUGUUGGGUUAAGUCCCGCAACGAGCGCAACCCUACGCUGAGUUACCAGCACGUAAAGGUGGGGGACUCUCAGUGGACUGCCGGCGACAAGCCGGAGGAGGGUGGGGACGACGUCAAGUCAUCAUGGCCCUCAUGUCCAGGGCGACACACGUGCUACAAUGGCCGGCACAACGGGAAGCGACGGCGCGAGUCGUAGCGGAUCCCUCAAAGCCGGUCCCAGUUCGGAUUGCAGUCUGCAACUCGACUGCAUGAAGCCGGAAUCGCUAGUAAUCGUGGAUCAGCCAAGCCGCGGUGAAUACGUUCCCGGGCCUU
Molecule: ribosomal RNA, 351 nt
Filed under: uncultured Thermanaerovibrio sp.
Lineage: Bacteria; Thermotogati; Synergistota; Synergistia; Synergistales; Synergistaceae
Description: bacterial SSU rRNA
Rfam family: Bacterial small subunit ribosomal RNA
Source: RNAcentral